RNAcentral lists this unclassified non-coding RNA (307 nucleotides) under uncultured fungus. RNAcentral's name for it is "sequence contains 18S rRNA gene, ITS1, 5.8S rRNA gene, ITS2". Lineage: Eukaryota; Fungi. The record is from RNAcentral.
GACUGCGGCUAGCACAAUCUUUAAAAGACAUCCUGUAACUUUAUAGUGUAUAUGAAAACAUAGCCUCGAAAGAAAAAGCAAGCAGGGGAAGGGCUUGCGCCCAGUCCCCCCAAACCGCAUCGCUGCGAGGGUCCACUUUUUCUUUCAAAAGACUACAAAAGGUGCACAAGAGAAGAUAAAUAGAAUGGAACGAGCACAUGCUCAGUGAAGAGCCAGCAUCAGAACCAACGUAUUCAAUAAUGAUCCUUCCGCAGGUUCACCUACGGAAACCUUGUUACGACUUUUACUUCCUCUAAAUUGACCAAGA